GACGAACGCUGGCGGCGUGCCUAAUACAUGCAAGUCGAGCGGGGUUGUCGGAGUGGAGUCCUUCGGGAUGAAGCACCGUCAACCUAGCGGCGGACGGGUGAGUAACGCGUGGGUAACCUGCCCUAAAGCCCGGGAUAACACCGGGAAACUGGUGCUAACACCGGAUACCUUCCGAAGAGGGCAUCCUUUUUGGAAGAAAGGUUAACGCUUUAGGAUGGGCCCGCGUCCCAUUAGCUAGUUGGUGAGGUAACGGCUCACCAAGGCAGUGAUGGGUAGCCGGCCUGAGAGGGUGGACGGCCACACUGGGACUGAGACACGGCCCAGACUCCUACGGGAGGCAGCAGUAGGGAAUAUUGCGCAAUGGGCGAAAAGCCUGACGCAGCGACGCCGCGUGGGUGAUGAAGGCCUUCGGGUUGUAAAACCCUGUCCUUGGGGAAGAAGGAAGUGACGGUACCCAAGGAGGAAGCCCGGCUAACACGUGCCAGCCGCCGCGGUAAAACCCUGUACAGU
This 510-nucleotide ribosomal RNA is filed under the name uncultured bacterium. RNAcentral's name for it is "bacterial SSU rRNA". It matches the Rfam family "Bacterial small subunit ribosomal RNA", at positions 28 to 534 of the family's 1533-position model. The record is from RNAcentral.